AAUGCACCAGUUUGUAAGUCGCUCUGGAUAAAUAAGAGCGUCUGCUAAAUGACGUAAA
Salmo salar (Atlantic salmon) is the source of this 58-nucleotide non-coding RNA. Lineage: Eukaryota; Metazoa; Chordata; Actinopteri; Salmoniformes; Salmonidae. The record is from Rfam.